GGAAUUUUCGUCAAUGGGGGGAACCCUGAACGAGCAAUGCCGCGUGUGUGAAGAAGGUCUUCGGAUCGUAAAGCACUGUUGUAAGUGAAGAAUGCCAUAUAGAGGAAAUGCUAUGUGGGUGACGGUAGCUUACCAGAAAGCCACGGCUAACUACGUGCCAGCAGCCGCGGUAAUACGUAGGUGGCAAGCGUUAUCCGGAAUCAUUGGGCGUAAAGGGUGCGUAGGUGGCACGACAAGUCUGAAGUAAAAGGCAACAGCUCAACUGUUGUAUGCUUUGGAAACUGUCGAGCUAGAGUGCAGAAGAGGGCGAUGGAAUUCCAUGUGUAGCGGUAAAAUGCGUAGAUAUAUGGAGGAACACCAGUGGCGAAGGCGGUCGCCUGGUCUGUAACUGACACUGAUGCACGAAAGCGUGGGGAGCAAAUAGGA
Molecule: unclassified non-coding RNA, 426 nt
Filed under: plant metagenome
Description: partial contains 5.8S ribosomal RNA, internal transcribed spacer 2, and large subunit ribosomal RNA
Rfam family: Bacterial small subunit ribosomal RNA
Source: RNAcentral